CGCGUAGGCGGCCACCGCAAGUCAACUGUGAAAUCUCCGGGCUUAACCCGGAAAGGUCAGCCGAUACUGCGGGGCUAGAGUGCAGAAGGGGCAACUGGAAUUCUCGGUGUAGCGGUGAAAUGCGUAGAUAUCGAGAGGAACACCUGCGGCGAAGGCGGGUUGCUGGGCUGACACUGACGCUGAGGCGAGAAAGCGUAGGGGGAGACGGAACG
This 212-nucleotide ribosomal RNA is filed under the name uncultured bacterium. Its description in RNAcentral is "partial 16S ribosomal RNA". It matches the Rfam family "Bacterial small subunit ribosomal RNA", at positions 568 to 779 of the family's 1533-position model. The record is from RNAcentral.